Molecule: ribosomal RNA, 468 nt
Filed under: uncultured bacterium
Lineage: Bacteria
Description: partial 16S ribosomal RNA
Rfam family: Bacterial small subunit ribosomal RNA
Source: RNAcentral
GACGAACGCUGGCGGCGUGCUUAACACAUGCAAGUCGAACGGAAAGGCCCUGCUUUUGUGGGGUGCUCGAGUGGCGAACGGGUGAGUAACACGUGAGUAACCUGCCCUAGACUUUGGGAUAACUUCAGGAAACUGGGGCUACUCUCGGAUAGGAGCUCCUGCUGCAUGGUGGGGGUUGGAAAGUCUCGGCGGUUGGGGCUGGACUCGCGGCUUAUCAGCUUGUUGGUGGGGUAGUGGCCUACCGAGGCUUUGACGGGUCGCCGGCCUGAGAGGGUGACCGGCGACAAUGGGACUGAGAGACGGCGCAGAGUCCUACGGGAGGCAGCAGGGGGAAGUAUGGCACAAUGGGCGGAAGCCUGAUGCAGCAACGCCGCGGUCGGGAUGACGGCCUUCGGGUUGUAAACCGCUUUCGCCUGUGACGAAGCGUGAGUGACGGUAAUGGGUAAAGAAGCACCGGCUAACUACGUG